AUUGAACGCUGGCGGCAGGCCUAACACACGCAAGUCGAGCGGAUGAAGGGAGCUUGCUCCUGGAUUCAGCGGCGGACGGGUGAGUAAUGCCUAGGAAUCUGCCUGGUAGUGGGGGAUAACGUCCGGAAACGGGCGCUAAUACCGCAUACGUCCUGAGGGAGAAAGUGGGGGAUCUUCGGACCUCACGCUCUCAGAUGAGCCUAGGUCGGAUUAGCUAGUUGGUGGGGUAAAGGCCGACCAAGGCGACGAUCCGUAACUGGUCUGAGAGGAUGAUCAGUCACACUGGAACUGAGACACGGUCCAGACUCCUACGGGAGGCAGCAGUGGGGAAUAUUGGACAAUGGGCGAAAGCCUGAUCCAGCCAUGCCGCGUGUGUGAAGAAGGUCUUCGGAUUGUAAAGCACUUUAAGUUGGGAGGAAGGGCAGUAAGUUAAUACCUUGCUGUUUUGACGUUACCAACAGAAUAAGCACCGGCUAACUUCGUG
RNAcentral lists this ribosomal RNA (484 nucleotides) under uncultured bacterium. Its description in RNAcentral is "partial 16S ribosomal RNA". It matches the Rfam family "Bacterial small subunit ribosomal RNA", at positions 30 to 507 of the family's 1533-position model. The record is from RNAcentral.